GUGGACCUGGACAAACACCAUUAACUAUAUAGUAAACAUCUUUUGGGUUCAACCUAUGAUUUCAGACUUUAAGAUUCAAGUUUACAGUCAACUGACACAAAGAUGCCAUUAUCUUACCUGGCUCUAAGCCUGAUUCCAAUAUACAUUUUUCAAGUUAACAUUUCUUGAACUUCAAUCUUUUGAAAUCUAAUGAUGAAAACCACUUCUCC
This 209-nucleotide long non-coding RNA is filed under the name Mytilus galloprovincialis (Mediterranean mussel). Lineage: Eukaryota; Metazoa; Mollusca; Bivalvia; Mytilida; Mytilidae. The record is from RNAcentral.